RNAcentral lists this ribosomal RNA (440 nucleotides) under uncultured bacterium. RNAcentral describes it as "partial 16S ribosomal RNA". It matches the Rfam family "Bacterial small subunit ribosomal RNA", at positions 338 to 795 of the family's 1533-position model. The record is from RNAcentral.
CCUACGGGAGACAGCAGUGGGGAAUAUUGCACAAUGGGCGAAACCCUGAUGCAGCGACGCCGCGUGAGGGAAGAAGGCUUUCGGUAUGGAAAGCUCUAUCAGCAGGGAAGAAAAGGACGGUACCUGUUUAAGAAGCCCCGGCUAACUACGGGCCAGCAGCCGCGGUAAUACGUAGGGGGCAAGCGUUAUCCGGAUUUACUGGGGGUAAAGGGGGAGUAGACGGCAGCACAAGUCUGGUGUGAAAUGCCGGGGGUUAACCCCCGAACUGCUGUGGAAACUGUGCAGCUAGAGUGGAGGAGAGGUAAGUGGAAUUCGUAGUGUAGCGGUGAAAUGCGUAGAUAUUAGGAGGAACACCAGUGGCGAAGGCGGCUUACUGGACUGCAACUGACGUUGAGGCACGAAAGCGUGGGGAGCAAACAGGAUUAGAUACCCGUGUAGUC